Molecule: transfer RNA, 73 nt
Filed under: Trichonephila clavata
Lineage: Eukaryota; Metazoa; Arthropoda; Arachnida; Araneae; Nephilidae
Rfam family: tRNA
About the family: Transfer RNA (tRNA) molecules are approximately 80 nucleotides in length. Their secondary structure includes four short double-helical elements and three loops (D, anti-codon, and T loops).
Source: Rfam by way of RNAcentral
GUCCCUGUAGCGCAAUGGAUAGCGCGUUGGACUUCUAAUCCAAAGGUCGUGGGUCCGAAUCCUACCUGGGAUG